GUAAGGGCGGACGGUGGAUCCCUCGGCAGCCGGAGGCGAUGAAGGGCGUGGCCAGCUGCGAUAAGCCCCGGGGAGCCGCUGAGCGGGCUAUGAUCCGGGGAUUCCCGAAUGGGGCAACCCACCGUACCGUUGAGGUGCGGUAUCCGCCGCCGAACACAUAAGCGGUGGAGGCGAACCCCGCGAAGGGAAACAUCCCAGUAGCGGGAGGAAAAGAAACCAACACCUGCCGCAAGGCAGGCGCGUUCGCCAAAAGCGGGCGUGGGGAUUCCCCUAGUAGCGGCGAGCGAACGGGGAGGAGCCCAAACCUCAUGGGUGCAAUAGGCCGCAGCCGUUGCCCGUGGGGGGUUGUGGGGCGAUGGUGGGGGCCGCUGCGGAGGCCCCGGGGAGUUACAAAGGCCUUCUCUAGCCGAACGGCCAGCAAAGUCACUGGAAAGGGCGACCGGAGAGGGUGAAAGUCCCGUAGGCGAAAGGGAAGGCCCUCCCUGGCCAUCGACCCCGAGUAGCGUCGGACACGAGGAAUCCGGCGCGAAGCUGGGGGGACCACCCUCCAAGGCUAAAUACUACCGGCUGACCGAUAGUGCACCAGUACCGUGAGGGAAAGGUGAAAAGCACCCCGGGAGGGGAGUGAAAUAGAACGUGAAACCGUCCGCCUACAGUGCAGUGGGAGCCUUUUCCGCCUUGGCCUUCGGGCCCUGGCGGAGGGGUGACCGCGUGCCUUUUGCAGUAUGAGCCGGCGAGUUACGCUCCGUGGCGAGGUUAAGCCCCUUUGGGGCGGAGCCGUAGCGAAAGCGAGUCCGAACAGGGCGACUAGUCACGGGGCGUAGACCCGAAGCCAGGUGAUCUACCCAUGGGCAGGGUGAAGUGCGCCUAAACGCGCACGGAGGCCCGAACCCGUUGGCUGUGCAACGCCAUGGGAUGACCUGUGGGUAGCGGUGAAAAGCCAAUCGCACCUGGUGAUAUCUGGCUCUCCCCGAAAUGGCUCUAGGGUCAGCCUCACGUUACAGGCGGCCGGGGGUAGAGCACUGGCUGGGGAAGGGGGGAAACUCCCGACUCCAAUCAAACUCCGAAUACCGGCCGUCGUUUCGUGGGAGUGAGACUGUGGGUGAUAACGUCCAUAGUCGAGAGGGAAACAACCCAGACCGCCAGCUAAGGCCCCCAAAUCCAGGCUAAGUGGGAAAGGCGGUGUGGUUGCUGAAACAGCUGGGAGGUUGGCUUAGAAGCAGCCAUCCUUUAAAGAGUGCGUAAUAGCUCACCAGUCUAGCGACCGCGCGCCGAAAAUGUAACGGGGCUAAGCCUGGUGCCGAAGCUGCGGGGCGUCUGUCUUCGGACGGGCGUCGGUAGGGGAGCGUUCCCAGCGGGUCGAAGCCGCGUCGCGAGGCGCGGUGGACUGCUGGGAAGUGAGAAUGCCGGCAUGAGUAGCGCAAGACGGGUGAGAAUCCCGUCCACCGAAUGCCCAAGGUUUCCUGGGGAAGGCUGAUCCACCCAGGGUUAGGCGGCCCUAAGCCGAACCCGAAAGGGGGUAGGCGAUGGACAGCCGGUUAAUAUUCCGGCCCCUCCGGGCCUGCGUUAUGAGCGAAGGGGGGACGCCGCGCGAGCCCCUCCGCAGGCUCACGGCUAUGCCUGUCCAAGCACCGAGCCAGAGGGGGUAGGCAAAUCCGCCCCCUCGCAACCGGCCUGUCCUCGUCCUUCGGGAUGGGGGCGGGUCGUCCAGGUGAGGUGUGAUGGCGAGUCCCGUAAGGGGCGAAGGGAGACGGCUUGAGCGGCCGAGAAAAGCCUCUAGCCAGUAGGUCCGGAGCCCGUACCGCAAACCGACACAGGUGGGCGAGGUGAGUAUCCACAGGUGGACGAGCCAACUCCGGUCAAGGAACUCGGCAAAAUGGCCCCGUAACUUCGGGAGAAGGGGCGCCUUCUGGGCUGGUGGGUAACCUUCCGGCCUGGGAGGCCGCAGAGAAUCGGCCCGGGCGACUGUUUACCAAAAACACAGGUCCCUGCUAACCCGAAAGGGGAUGUAUAGGGACUGAAACCUGGCCACUGCCGGUAGGUCAAGGGGAGGGGUGCAAGCCCUGAACCGAAGCCCCGGUGAAGGCCGGCCGUAACUAUAACGGUAGGAGCGGGGGCGCAGGUCCCCGCGAGGGCCGUUUCAAAAUCCGGCUAUAUGCUGGGACGGCCCGUGUAUCCCAGGCUACCGAGGAGGUGACAAAGCCGUGGGUGGGGCCAAUCAGCAGGAAAGGCUCUCCAAUACCGAAGCAGCAAGGUGGUUCCUUGCAGGGCUCAUCGAGGGCGAAGGGAGCUUUGCCGUAUCCAUCAAGGAGCAUCCCACAGCCAGAUACGGCUUUUAUGUGGAUCCCGAAUUCUUCAUCUAUCAGCACAAAAGCGGCCGCAGGCUCCUUGAGAUGGCGAAGGAGAUCUUCGGGACGGGCAGGAUCUACCCUAAACCUGGGAAUCCCGAGGUCCUCGUCUUCGCCAUCACUGCUAGAAGGAGCCUUAAGGAGAAGGUGCUCCCGUUCGUCGAAAGGUAUAUGGUUUUCUCCACGAAGAAGAAAGAGCUUCAGCUCUUUGUAGAGAUCGUGGAGGCCCUUGAGCGCAAGGAACACCAUUCCGCUUUCGGGCUGGCGCGCAUCGUCGAGAAGGCGUAUGCGUUGAAUCCGGCCGGGAAGGGGAGGGAGAGGAAGCGACCUCUCCUCGAGGUCUUGGAGAGAAUCCUCAGAGGCCAUACGCCGGACCCCAACAAUUCCGUGACGCGUGACGGGUGACGUGUUACGGAGCUUGGGGAAGAUAUGGUCCAGGCCCCGUGGCGACACGGGGGAAACCUGCCUAAGGUAGCGAAGUUCCUUGUCGGGUAAGUGAAAGAACUUGCCCUGCCGUCCCGCGAGGGACGGUGAAAAUCCGGCUCAUAUCGGGGAAGCCCUCC
RNAcentral lists this ribosomal RNA (2911 nucleotides) under Acetothermia bacterium 64_32. RNAcentral's name for it is "bacterial LSU rRNA". The stretch from base 1 to 2176 matches the Rfam family "Bacterial large subunit ribosomal RNA". The record is from RNAcentral. Lineage: Bacteria; Candidatus Bipolaricaulota.